GACGAACGCUGGCGGCGUGCUUAACACAUGCAAGUCGAACGGAAAGGCCCUGCUUUUGUGGGGUGCUCGAGUGGCGAACGGGUGAGUAACACGUGAGUAACCUGCCCUUGACUUUGGGAUAACUUCAGGAAACUGGGGCUAAUACCGGAUAGGAGCUCCUGCUGCAUGGUGGGGGUUGGAAAGUUUCGGCGGUUGGGGAUGGACUCGCGGCUUAUCAGCUUGUUGGUGGGGGAGUGGCUUACCAAGGCUUUGACGGGUAGCCGGCCUGAGAGGGUGACCGGCCACAUUGGGACUGCGAUACGGCCCAGACUCCUACGGGAGGCAGCAGUGGGGAAUAUUGCACAAUGGGCGGAAGCCUGAUGCAGCAACGCCGCGUGCGGGAUGACGGCCUUCGGGUUGUAAACCGCUUUCGCCUGUGACGAAGCGUGAGUGACGGUAAUGGGUAAAGAAGCACCGGCUAACUACGUG
RNAcentral lists this ribosomal RNA (468 nucleotides) under uncultured bacterium. Its description in RNAcentral is "partial 16S ribosomal RNA". It matches the Rfam family "Bacterial small subunit ribosomal RNA", at positions 28 to 507 of the family's 1533-position model. The record is from RNAcentral.